CAUAACGUCGCAAGACCAAAGAGGGGGACCUUCGGGCCUCUUGCCAUCGGAUGUGCCCAGAUGGGAUUAGCUAGUAGGUGGGGUAACGGCUCACCUAGGCGACGAUCCCUAGCUGGUCUGAGAGGAUGACCAGCCACACUGGAACUGAGACACGGUCCAGACUCCUACGGGAGGCAGCAGUGGGGAAUAUUGCACAAUGGGCGCAAGCCUGAUGCAGCCAUGCCGCGUGUAUGAAGAAGGCCUUCGGGUUGUAAAGUACUUUCAGCGGGGAGGAAGGGAGUAAAGUUAAUACCUUUGCUCAUUGACGUUACCCGCAGAAGAAGCACCGGCUAACUCCGUGCCAGCAGCCGCGGUAAUACGGAGGGUGCAAGCGUUAAUCGGAAUUACUGGGCGUAAAGCGCACGCAGGCGGUUUGUUAAGUCAGAUGUGAAAUCCCCGGGCUCAACCUGGGAACUGCAUCUGAUACUGGCAAGCUUGAGUCUCGUAGAGGGGGGUAGAAUUCCAGGUGUAGCGGUGAAAUGC
This 522-nucleotide ribosomal RNA is filed under the name Enterobacteriaceae bacterium HGH0095. RNAcentral's name for it is "bacterial SSU rRNA". It matches the Rfam family "Bacterial small subunit ribosomal RNA", at positions 172 to 689 of the family's 1533-position model. Lineage: Bacteria; Pseudomonadati; Pseudomonadota; Gammaproteobacteria; Enterobacterales; Enterobacteriaceae. The record is from RNAcentral.